UAAUACGUAGGGUGCAAGCGUUAAUCGGAAUUAUUGGGCGUAAAGGGUGCGCAGGCGGUAUUGUAAGUCAGAUGUGAAAGCCCCGGGCUUAACCUGGGAAUUGCGUUUGAAACUGCAAUGCUAGAGUGUGAUAGAGGAAAGUGGAAUUCCAUGUGUAGCAGUGAAAUGCGUAGAGAUGUGGAAGAACACCAAUGGCGAAGGCAGCUUUCUGGAUUAACACUGACGCUCAUGCACGAAAGCGUGGGGAGCAAACAGGAUUAGAUACCCUGGUAGUCCACGCCCUAAACUAUGUCAACUAGUUGUCGGAUCUGUUUAAGGAUUUGGUAACGAAGCUAACGCAUGAAGUUGACCGCCUGGGAAGUACGGUCGCAAGAUUAAAACUUAAAUGAAUUGACGG
This 397-nucleotide ribosomal RNA is filed under the name uncultured bacterium. Its description in RNAcentral is "bacterial SSU rRNA". It matches the Rfam family "Bacterial small subunit ribosomal RNA", at positions 521 to 916 of the family's 1533-position model. The record is from RNAcentral.